CAAAUGCUUAUAUGUGAGGCUUGGAAAUAAGAAUCUGAGUACUUGUGAUUUUCAUGACCUUGCCUAAGGCAUUUAAUUUUUAGGCGGGAGGGAAGAGUGAUAACACCUUUAUUAAGGAGUAUGCAAUAAAAUGUUGGGGAGACAUUUUUUUCUUUUUUAUAUGUGUUGCUGUGCAUAUUGCUUCUUCAUAUGCAUCAGAGUGAUGAUCAACUUUUCUUUUUUUAAGUGCCUGAUUUACAGCAUAAUGCAUUAUUAGAAAGAGAGAAUGCAAGUAAGAACAAAGUAUUGUAAGUCUUGCAUUUCACAAAAGAAAUAUUUGAUGAAGUGCUUUUCAAAAAGCUAAAUUUUUGGCAGUUGAUCAAAGUAUAGCAUGGAAAUCCAUAUGGAAAAGGAAAUGUGAAUAGUUGUGUCCAGUUUCAUUCUGUGCUUUAGAAAAUGUAUAAAGAUGAAGUACAGGAUAUAAAGAAACUUCUAUGUGCACAUUUUGACUAAAAAUUGAUUUUGGGCACUCCUUGCUCAAUAUGCCGAUCCAAAUGGCCCCUUACUUCAUUGAAUCCAUGACUCCCUUUUCUUACUGACUACAUUAAUAAGAAGAGGGCAAUGACUGGAAUAGAAAUUAUAAACGUGUCUCUGAUCACAGUGAUGCAUAUGCAAGUACCAAAAGUCUAUCAGCUCUCAGCUGGUCUAAUUUUUGGUAUCUAUUUAGUUAGUCAUUUUGUUGGAUUUAUUAUAAGAAAAGGAACUGUUUGAAAACACAGGUUUUCUUUUACAAUGAGGAUAAUAACUGUGUUGAAUCUAAAUGUUGUUUCCCUUUGUAUGGAUUUUCUGCAGAAAGUAAAACUACUCUUAAAGGUUUGAAGUUAACUUCAAGUGGAAAUAAAGUUUAAAUAAAUUUUUGUUUCUUUUUAAAAAGAAUGAUUUUCUUCAUUUUUUGCAGAAUUUAUUUUGUUUUAUUUCAAAUUUGAGCCAAUGUCUUGUAUUUUAUUUAGUU
Argiope bruennichi is the source of this 991-nucleotide long non-coding RNA. RefSeq lists it as uncharacterized. The record is from RefSeq and is a predicted model, not a curated record. Lineage: Eukaryota; Metazoa; Arthropoda; Arachnida; Araneae; Araneidae. The transcript has 7 exons.